CGCCCAUCAGCUGGUCCGAGCACGUGUAGUUGUCAAAGCACGUGUUCCUUCUUAUAGGGAUUCCCGUAUCUUGUCUCUGAGGGAGAAUUAGUGGUGAGAUAAUUGGAGCUAGAGAAACCUCACUAACCAAAGAAGAGAGAAGUCGAGAUAGAAGACAGUAACGAGGAAGAAAAUACCUGCUGCAGCUCUAGCUAAGGCCACAGGAGUAAACAAAAAAAAACAAAAAAACAGAAGCUGUGGUUUUCUCAGUAAUGGAGGCGGGGCAGAGUGAAGGAAAAUCAAGAUCAGUGGCUUCUAGAAUGCAGGAAGGAGUCAUGAAUGCAAAAUGGAAGAAGAAAGGAUGAAGAAAAUAUUAACCCCAUUGAAAAUGAUGGCCUAAGAAUGGUGAAUGGCAGAGCUGAGGUCUAGGAAUUAGCAGCAAAAUCCCAUUCCUUAACUGAAGUAAUUCUAUAAGAACUACUAUCAAGGGACCAAAACUGAAUUGAAAGCUGUUUCCAGCGCCAAAGCAGAGAGAUUGUGGAGGAAGCCUUCAUGUAUGCUGAUUAUGAAAUGGAUGAUUGCCUUAGAAUGUAAUAGUAGACAGAAGGCUGAAAUUGCAUUACAGAGAGGUGAAGUAAACAAGAAUUAAAUAGAUGUCGGCAGCUCAGACAAAAAAAACAUUGUAUUGUCUGGAAAAUUUGAACUGCUGUGUAUAUUUUCUUCCCAAAGGAAACUAGGAAACUUCAAAGAUGUAUUUAUCUUUACAUUAAAUAUGCCUAUUAUGUGUUGAAGUCAUCAGAUAGGGACAUGCAUGUGUGUGUUCAUCUGACUUUCAUUUACAAAAUAUGAUAGUUAUAAUGAUAAUAA
Penaeus indicus is the source of this 846-nucleotide long non-coding RNA. RefSeq lists it as uncharacterized. The transcript has 5 exons. The record is from RefSeq and is a predicted model, not a curated record. Lineage: Eukaryota; Metazoa; Arthropoda; Malacostraca; Decapoda; Penaeidae.